RNAcentral lists this non-coding RNA (69 nucleotides) under Heterosigma akashiwo. The record is from RNAcentral. Lineage: Eukaryota; Raphidophyceae; Chattonellales; Chattonellaceae.
AUGCAUUAAAAAAAAAAAAAAAAAAAAAAAACGUUUUCACGCUAUUAUUUUUACUUCCACCAGCUCAAA